RNAcentral lists this ribosomal RNA (590 nucleotides) under uncultured fungus. Its description in RNAcentral is "eukaryotic LSU rRNA". It matches the Rfam family "Eukaryotic large subunit ribosomal RNA", at positions 40 to 647 of the family's 3401-position model. The record is from RNAcentral. Lineage: Eukaryota; Fungi.
AUAUCAAUAAGCGGAGGAAAAGAAACCAACAGGGAUUGCCUCAGUAACGGCGAGUGAAGCGGCAACAGCUCAAAUUUGAAAUCUGGCUCCUUUGGGGUCCGAGUUGUAAUUUGUAGAGGAUGCUUCGGCUUACGCUCCGGUCUAAGUUCCUUGGAACAGGACGUCAUAGAGGGUGAGAAUCCCGUAUGCGACCGGCGCCUCCGCCAUGUGAAGCUCCUUCGACGAGUCGAGUUGUUUGGGAAUGCAGCUCUAAAUGGGAGGUAAAUUUCUUCUAAAGCUAAAUACCGGCCAGAGACCGAUAGCGCACAAGUAGAGUGAUCGAAAGAUGAAAAGCACUUUGGAAAGAGAGUUAAAAAGUACGUGAAAUUGUUGAAAGGGAAGCGCUUGCAACCAGACUUGCCCGCGGAUGCUCAACCGUCCUUUUGGCCGGUGCACUCUUCCGCGGUCAGGCCAGCAUCGGUUUGAGCGGCUGGAUAAAGGUUGCGGGAAUGUAGCUCCUCUCGGGGAGUGUUAUAGCCCGCUUCGUCAUGCAGCCCGCUUGGACCGAGGCCCGCGCAUUGCUAGGAUGCUGGCGUAAUGGUUGUAAGCGG